This 255-nucleotide ribosomal RNA is filed under the name uncultured bacterium. Its description in RNAcentral is "partial 16S ribosomal RNA". It matches the Rfam family "Bacterial small subunit ribosomal RNA", at positions 524 to 776 of the family's 1533-position model. The record is from RNAcentral.
UACAGAGGGUGCGAGCGUUGUUCGGAAUUACUGGGCGUAAAGCGCGCGCAGGCGGCCUUUUAAGUCUACCCGUGAAAUGCCGGAGCUCAACUCCGUGCACGCCGGGGGAUACUGGGAGGCUAGAGACUGGUAGAGGCGAGCGGAAUUCCUGGUGUAGCGGUGGAAUGCGUAGAUAUCAGGAAGAACACCGGUGGCGAAGGCGGCUCGCUGGGCCAGUUCUGACACUCAUCCGCGAAAGCGUGGGGAGCAAACAGG